RNAcentral lists this transfer RNA (71 nucleotides) under Marmota monax (woodchuck). Its description in RNAcentral is "tRNA.Trp". Lineage: Eukaryota; Metazoa; Chordata; Mammalia; Rodentia; Sciuridae. The record is from RNAcentral.
GGCUGGGGCUCAGUGGUAGAGCACGUGCCUCCAAACCUCGAGGCCCUGGGUUCCAUCCUCAGCAUCAGGUA